GACAAUCUGGACUUGGUCAUGAUCUGGCUUCCCUGGGUCAUUGUCAGACAGCUGGUCAAGGUGAGCCUGAACAGAAGAAAAUCUGUGCAGGGACACACAAAAUGACCAUUUAACUGCCCACAUAUGCCAGCAAAGAUGCGGAUUUGAAUGACCUGCCCAGUUCCUUAAUGUGCCUUUCCCCACUGGCCACAUCUGAAAGCCCUUGAUGUAUCCACUUACAGGCUUGUGGGACAAGACACUAUUCAAAGGAAUGGGAGAAGCACUGAUCCAGAGGUUCCAACACUGAUCUGCAACGAACUGGGCUUCAGUGAUCAACAGUCUCCUCAAGACUUAAUCUGUCGGGAAUUUUAUGUACCCAUGGUCGGCUUCAUCUGUCUUCCAGACAGAGUGAUAAAAAGUGGAAUCACAGCUAAUGGAGUCCCAUGCAGGUUUGUGCUCUUAAUUACUUUCGAAACUUUGAAAUCAGGAUAACAUUUCCAAAGAGAAGUAUCUCUAAUUUUAAAUGAUGUUAAUAUUUCUUCUAGUUACCACACUUCUUUUUUUGUCUUUAGUCUGAAAAACUGAAAGCCUUUGAUACAGGAAAUGAGAAAAGCCCUCUGCUUUCAUUCCAGGAGUUGGAAGAUGAAGAUAAUGUCAAUGCAGCUAACUGCUAAUGCAGUGAAAGGUUAUGAUGAAAAUGGUUUUGAUAAAAUAAAACUCUUGAUGCCUAGGUUACUGAUAGCUCCAAAGACUGGCCUAGAAACUGGCAAGCACUUUACAAGUUACUGGCAACAGAAAAUCUAA
RNAcentral lists this long non-coding RNA (783 nucleotides) under Cercocebus atys (sooty mangabey). Its description in RNAcentral is "lncRNA (ENSCATG00000045875.1)". The record is from RNAcentral. Lineage: Eukaryota; Metazoa; Chordata; Mammalia; Primates; Cercopithecidae.